UACGAAGGGGGCUAGCGUUGUUCGGAUUUACUGGGCGUAAAGCGCACGUAGGCGGGUUGUUAAGUCAGGGGUGAAAUCCUGGAGCUCAACUCCAGAACUGCCUUUGAUACUGGCAACCUAGAGGCUGGAAGAGGUUAGUGGAAUUCCCAGUGUAGAGGUGAAAUUCGUAGAUAUUGGGAAGAACACCAGUGGCGAAGGCGGCUAACUGGUCCAGAUCUGACGCUGAGGUGCGAAAGCGUGGGGAGCAAACGGG
Molecule: ribosomal RNA, 253 nt
Filed under: uncultured bacterium
Lineage: Bacteria
Description: partial 16S ribosomal RNA
Rfam family: Bacterial small subunit ribosomal RNA
Source: RNAcentral